Molecule: ribosomal RNA, 443 nt
Filed under: uncultured bacterium
Lineage: Bacteria
Description: partial 16S ribosomal RNA
Rfam family: Bacterial small subunit ribosomal RNA
Source: RNAcentral
CCUACGGGAGGCUGCAGUGGGGAAUAUUGGGCAAUGGAGGCAACUCUGACCCAGCAAUGCCGCGUGAGUGAUGAAGGUAAUUUUAUUGUAAAGCUCUUUUCUUUGGAACGAAUAAAUGACGGUACCAAAGGAAUAAGCCCCGGCUAACUACGUGCCAGCAGCCGCGGUAAUACGUAGGGGGCAAGCGUUGGUCGGAAUGACUGGGCGGAAAGGGGGUGUAGGUGGUUUGAUAAGUUGGAUGUGUAAUACCCAGGGCUUAACUCGGGGGCUGCAUCUAAACCUGUUAGGCUUGAGUACUGGAGAGGAUAGUGGAAUGCGUAGUGUAGCGGUGGAAUGCGUAGAUAUUAGGAAGAACAUCAGUGGCGAAGGCGACUAACUGGACAGCAACUGACGCUGAGGCACGAAAGCGUGGGGAGCAAACAGGAUUAGAUACCCGUGUAGUC